GAUGAACGCUGGCGGCGUGCCUAAUACAUGCAAGUCGAGCGAACAGACGAGGAGCUUGCUCCUCUGACGUUAGCGGCGGACGGGUGAGUAACACGUGGAUAACCUACCUAUAAGACUGGGAUAACUUCGGGAAACCGGAGCUAAUACCGGAUAACAUGUUGAACCGCAUGGUUCAACAGUGAAAGACGGUCUUGCUGUCACUUAUAGAUGGGUCCGCGCCGCAUUAGCUAGUUGGUAAGGUAACGGCUUACCAAGGCAACGAUGCGUAGCCGACCUGAGAGGGUGAUCGGCCACACUGGAACUGAGACACGGUCCAGACUCCUACGGGAGGCAGCAGUAGGGAAUCUUCCGCAAUGGGCGAAAGCCUGACGGAGCAACGCCGCGUGAGUGAUGAAGGUCUUCGGAUCGUAAAACUCUGUUAUUAGGGAAGAACAAAUGUGUAAGUAACUAUGCACGUCUUGACGGUACCUAAUCAGAAAGCCACGGCUAACUACGUG
This 497-nucleotide ribosomal RNA is filed under the name uncultured bacterium. RNAcentral's name for it is "partial 16S ribosomal RNA". It matches the Rfam family "Bacterial small subunit ribosomal RNA", at positions 28 to 507 of the family's 1533-position model. The record is from RNAcentral.